CAGCCGCCACGGUAAUACGUAGGGUGCGAGCGUUAAUCGGAAUUACUGGGCGUAAAGCGUGCGCAGGCGGUUAUGCAAGACAGAUGUGAAAUCCCCGGGCUCAACCUGGGAACUGCAUUUGUGACUGCAUGACUAGAGUACGGCAGAGGGGGAUGGAAUUCCGCGUGUAGCAGUGAAACGCGUAGAUAUGCGGAGGAACACCGAUGGCGAAGGCAAUCCCCUGGGCCUGUACUGACGCUCAUGCACGAAAGCGUGGGGAGCAAACAGGAUUAGAUACCCCCGUAGUCCCUGUCUCUUAUAC
RNAcentral lists this ribosomal RNA (301 nucleotides) under uncultured bacterium. RNAcentral's name for it is "partial 16S ribosomal RNA". It matches the Rfam family "Bacterial small subunit ribosomal RNA", at positions 509 to 807 of the family's 1533-position model. The record is from RNAcentral.